Molecule: unclassified non-coding RNA, 1436 nt
Filed under: Schistocerca americana (American grasshopper)
Lineage: Eukaryota; Metazoa; Arthropoda; Insecta; Orthoptera; Acrididae
Description: protein abrupt-like, transcript variant X7
Source: RNAcentral
CAAUAAUAACGAAAAUCGUAAAUCUGUUUAGUUUUACAAGUAAAAACCAAUAUUUUUAUGAUUUAUAUAUGCACUGUAGUAUAGAAAAGUUGGUACUCGACCUCUAUUUUGUCUUACCCUUCACGCGACGAGGGAAAUGAUUUAAUUUGUUCCACUUUCAUACAAGAAAUCGUUCAACAAUGGCAGAUGAGCAGCAAUUCUGUCUACGCUGGAAUAACUUCCAGAUGAACAUAACAUCCCAGUUUGAGGCAUUACGUGAUGAAGAAGACUUUGUGGAUGUGACAUUGGCUUGUGAGGGACAGCGUCUAAAAGCACAUAAAGUUGUAUUAUCAGCUUGUAGUCCUUACUUCAAGGAACUUUUCAAGAGUAAUCCUUGCAAACAUCCUAUAUUGUUCAUGCGUGAUGUGGAAUUCAGACAUUUGAAGUCUCUGGUAGAGUUCAUGUAUGCUGGAGAGGUCAAUGUUGCACAGGCACAGUUAUCAGCAUUCCUUAGAACUGCAGAAUCACUACAAAUACGUGGACUCACAGAAGCACCACAGAGGCAUUCAAGGUUUGAUGGAGCAACAUCAGAUACUGGACACAGCCGGCGUGGUACACGCAGUGGCAUUCCGACGUCACCUAUAGCAGGAGCUCCAGAAGAAGAUGAUAUCCUGAGCCUAAGCCCUCCUGCCUCCCCAUCUCCUCCUGCCAAACGCCCAUGUACAGCACCAGAUCCAGCAAAUAUCAAGAGAGAAGCUCCAGAUAUUGUUGAGCCAAAACUGGAAGUCCCUGACUAUAGCAGUGAUGGAGAAAGCAGAACAGAAAGUGGAAAUGGAGCUCAUUAUGGUGGAAUAGAAAAUCCUCUUGAUGCGAAAUCAGCAUAUGCAACUGGAGGACUACAAGGUGGAAUGGAGAUGAUUCCUGGAACAUCCGCUGCACACAAUUUCCUCUCAGACGUAUCAACACUGCCACAGGAGCCAGCUUCACAAGCUGGACUUGCUUGCCAGGAAACCGUGUGGGCUGGUGUCCACCAACACUGCUGCGGCAUGCCAUGUCUUCCUGGUCCAGGGACCACUCUGCCCGAUACUUUGGAACUCCUCCUAAUUUUGUUGGCGAUGAACAAGACUCAAAGGAGAUGGUGCCUUUGGCUGCUGGUGUCCUGGUACCUGCUUCUCUGCUGCAACGAGUUAAUCGAGCUGACUAUCGGAAACUCACCCGCGGUCUUGCAUCAGCUCUUUUCUCACCCCUUGAACUAGGAUCAAGUUCAGUGACUGGUCAGCGGUGGACUCGAGCAGGAUAUUGCUCAGGCCGACCAACGAAACCUGCUCUGGAUCGGCGUCGUGUGGAAGCCAUUCUCGCAUAUGUUGGUACACAUUUUCCCACCAUCGAACGCAGCAAAGUGAAGCAGGUACUGGCAUACAAGUGUAAAGAAAGUGCUGCUGCACUGAGGGUACGUG